This 207-nucleotide long non-coding RNA is filed under the name Mytilus galloprovincialis (Mediterranean mussel). Lineage: Eukaryota; Metazoa; Mollusca; Bivalvia; Mytilida; Mytilidae. The record is from RNAcentral.
AUAACGAAUCCGUUUGGCUCGGUGCAACUCACAGGGGUGGCUGGUUUUGGUUAAAUGGAGAGAAGAUCACACAGGGCCAUUUCGCGGCAGUAGAUACACAAUCGGAUGGAGAAUGUCUAGUUCUGAAAGGAAAUCAUUAUAUGGGAGAAGACUGUGAUCGCCAUUUUGCUCAUUUGUGUGAAGAGCAAAUAUAAAAAACCCAUUCUU